AUUAUGUAUUUUCGUAUCAUAUAUUAAUAUUAAAAUAGAUGUUUACUUUGUUUUGAUUAGAUGCAUGCCAGACACAAGUAAAUGGGAAUGGUGGAACUGGUUGCUCUGUGUCCUUGCUGUAAUAUUUCUAGGGCCAAUUAUCUUAGUACUAGGAGUAAGUUAGCUUUAUUUGAUUGCUUUUACUUCUUUUCGAUUCGCUUUAAUUCCUGGUUUUAUAUCUAAACACUUUUUUAAAGUUCAAAUAUGAAAACAGCUUCAGAAGCAGCAACAUUUAAGAAAACAACAAAUGAGGAGAACGGCUAAUGCUCUAAAUGUAAAGACAUAUUUAAAAUAUCAUACCGACUACUGGGUCCUUUUAACAAAUAAGUAGCAUCUCUCUUAUUUCUAAAAUAUCUGUAUCCUUUCCAACAGCAAUUUGUCUAAAUAUCUGUGACAUUUAUUAACCUUACUUUGCACUUAUGACUCGGCUAUUGUAAGCUUUUUUUAUUUUACUAAAAUGUGUCCAUUGUUCAAAGAAAUACCAAUAUCCAGCAUAUAAAAGGAUUAGGCUUGAUUAAACAUUUAAGUUAAAAAUAUUUGUCUUUUCCUAUUCGUUUUAAAAAGACAAUUUCCUUAUCGGCCUUCUAAACUAGUUGACACUGAAUGUUCCUUGUAAAUAAAUUCAUUUCUGAUAUAAGAAUUUAACUCUAAUGUUAAAUAUAACAAUUUAACUCUAAUGUUAAUAUAUAUCGGUGUAUCCACGCAUAAGACUCUGCUGUUUUAGUGUAUCUAAAAUACAAUUAAAGUAUCUAUGAUAUAUAUACAACUUAUAUUUAUAUAUUUAUUUACAAACAUUCCUAAGAUAUCUAUCGUUAUUAUUUUUAAAAUUGUCAUAUAAACGGGAUGUUUGGAUAGCCAUUACACGAGUUUUAAGUCAUUAUUUUUUUUUCCGAAAACGUCCUGUAUCAAGUCAAGAUUGUUGUUAUCAAAUAGUUUCUUUCUAUGUUCGUUAGCGUUUGUUUUUGUUGUACGUCAGUGUUAUUGUUGUUCCAUUGUUUUCCUCUGAUAGUUGAUGUGUGUCUCUCGGUUUUAGUUUGUAACCCAUAUUUGUUUUCUCUCAAUCGAUCUAUGACUUUUAAUCACCGGUAUACUACCGAUGCCUUUAUUCAUCCUUUAUAUCAGGAUUAAAAUUAUGUACGGCAGACGCGCGAUUCAUCUUUAUUUGAAUCAUCAGUUUAGCUCGAUUCAAAUUGUUUUUUUUUUGGUUUUUUUUAUCGAAUUAUUAGUAUUUGAAAGAUGCAAAGUUUUGUUUACAGUUAUUUAAGAAUACAUGUAAAUGACGAUAUCAAUAAUAUUUCACGUCAACACAGAAUUGCCGACUUCUUGACUUCUUGACUUCUUGACCGUCGUGGAGAAACCUUCCAACAGCAGUGGCACCGAUCCAGUGAUUGUAAAAUAACUCAUCAUUGAUAUCAGGUUUAAAAUAUUGUACGACAUAUCCACAUAAAGAUAUAAGUAUAUACUAUUAAAUUAUUGAUAAACCUAUUAUCAUAUAGAUAUAAAAAGAUUGGGUAUGAGUUCCAAUGAGCCUAAAAAUCUCCAUCCAAGUCGCAAUUUAUAAAAGUAUAAUAGAAAUCUAUAUAGGUACAAGUACGGUCUUCAACAGAGAGCCUUGGUUCACACCGAACAGCAAGCUAUAAAGGGUUCCCCAAAAUAUACUAGUGUAAAACCAUUUAAACGGGAAAACCAACGGUCUAAUCUAUAGAAAAUUCUAUAGAAAAAACGAGAAACAGUUAUGAACCACAUAAAUAAAUGACAACAACUGAAUAUGUAUACAAUGCUUUUACAUUUGUAAUAAUGUUGAACUUCAUGAUAUUAGUAUAGAAAUAUUACUUUUAUAAUAACCUACAUUAUGCUAUUACAGUUGGUAUGUUGUAUUCUUCUGGGUGGUAACGGCGGUCAUGACCAUCACCACCAUUAAAGAUUAUCAAGGUAAAUAUCCUACUGGUUGUGUUUCCAAGAUAUACACGUAAUAAAAGGAAGAGCCAACAUCACUGGUGAUCAAUAUUAUACGUACGUAAAAAGAACAUAACACUAUUUGAAAAUAUACUUUCAGUUAUACACCAUUUUAUUUCAUUUAUGAUGAGAGAUACACAUGCUUACUCUUUAUAACACUAAGUAAAUAUACAACACUCACUGACUAAGAUUGUGUUUCGGAGGGCCAGAAGGGGAUCCGGUCAAUUUAAUAAAAGGGAGAGGGUUGUCCAACCAUAUUUCCCCAUACAAAAGUAUUAAUCGUUAAAAAUAUUGUGUUCCAACACCCGAACCCUCUUUGCCCCUUGGAUCCAUCUAUGAUUGCCAAAGUAAGAAUAUUUAGCUUUUACCUCUAAUGACAAGCCCGAACGAUCAUACAUCAGAGCACUUUGCUUAAUGUAUGCUAAAGUUUCAUGUUGAUAUGCUAAAAUAUUAAUAUAUGAAUUGAUACUCACUAUAUUGUGACAAAUCUGGACUGAUAAUUGUUAUUAUUUAACCUAUUAUUUAUUGUAUAUUACAUAUAUCUAUUUGAAUAUAUGCGGUGGUCAACUUCUCGGAGUGCACAAACACUUAUAAAUGAUUGACUUCAUACUCAUGAUUAACUAUUGUACUUUGCAAGUGAUAAGGGCCAGUGUUAUAUGUAUAUCUUGGUAAUGUUUACCUUAAAAUACUUUGAUUAUCCCGUCAUAUAGUGAUUAUUUUGACAAAUAUCGUCGUGAGAUUCAACUGUUUACAUCUGCCAUGACACCGUUUGUACUUUCCUUGCGAUCUCAUAUUAUUAUUUUUUAAGUUAACACUUUAUCAAUACAGAUUAUUGCGUAUUUAUUAGUUUGUGCCUCCUUUUCAUUAACAUGUGUUUAUUUAUGAUAGAACAGGGUUUUCAUUGAUCUCAUUUAAGCAUUAUAUCUAAUGCGUAUGGUUAUGUAAAUUACACCCAAGUUCAUACGCCGUACCGAGAAAGGAAUUUACUGUCCGUUUAAAUAUAGCAUUAUAUAGAAAUGUCCUUUUAGUUUUAUUUGCUUUACAACUUAAUAUUGUUUCUUUAUUUAAGAAUAACGAAAUCUGAUUGUCUUCUUGAACGUUUCAAGCCAAAAGACGUAAGAAACGUUGCUUUUGAUUGGACGAUUAGAUGUUUACUCUAACGUCAUAGUAAGCCAAAAGACAUAAAUAGGAGCCUGUAGACAACAUGUCUUCUGAAUCAAUCUCUUGAACCGUCAACUACCUUUUAUAUUGACACCGAUUUAUGCUUUAUUGUUGAAUGAUGAAUGUGUAUUGAUGUUUAUUAUAUUGAAAGAGAAGUCAAAAUACUACUAAAUAAAUAUCAUUUGAUUAUGUUUGUUACAAACUGUUUCUCCACAAUGACGUUGAUUCACUCUCCUGAAUGAUGAGUUAAACAGUUUUAUAGUAACCUAGGUUUGUUACAUAUACAAACAAAGCCACUUGCUUUCGAUUGUAAAUAAUGAUUCUGUAACAUAAAAUUUGCUCUUCCAUGAAUGCAACAAUGUGUCGGAAGAAACAAUGUGGACUUAUUGAGAAGGGAUAUAAUUACGAUACUGUUGUCAAGUCAUUAAAGAUUGCAUAUUUUGGCGUUAAUAUUGAGUCACUUAUAGGUUUUGCAUCGGAACUAAAAACAUUUAUUCUAAAACAGUUGUUGGCAUGACACGGUUAUGUUUUCUCUAUAUGUUAUGAUGGUAUGAUACUAAACCCCUAACGGGAAGGAUGUGCCUGAUGUUCAUAUGAUGAAAUUCAUAAUCUUUUCAGUCAGUUAAUUGAAGUCUGGAGCUGGCAUGUCAGUUAACUGCUAGGAGUCUGUUUUAUGUAUGUAUUAUUGUCAUUUUGUUUUUUCUUUUGGUACAUCUUCUGACAUCAGACUCGGACUCUCUUGAACUGAAUUUUAAUGUGCGUAUUGUUAUGCGUUUACUUUUCUAUAUUGGUUUAGAGUAUAGAGGAGGGUUGAGAUCUCACAAACAUGUUUAACCCCGCCGCAUUUUUGCGCUGUCCAAUCAGAGCUCUGUUCUAGUCUUGUAUUAUUUAAUUUUAGUUCUUGUGUACAAUUGGAAAUUAGAUGCGUUCAUUAUCACUGGACUAGUAUAUAUUUGUUAGGGGCAGCUGAAAGGACGCCUCCGGGCGGAAUUUCUCGCUACAUUGAAGACCUGUUGGUGACCCCUUAUUUGGUCGGGUUGUUGUCUCUACACAUUCCCCAUUCCAUUCUCAUUUUAUAAAAAAAAAACACUACAAGUCGUAUAGAAACUGAAAAAAAUAAAAAAAAAUACGACCUAAAGACAAACAGGGCCACAAAACACUACAAAAUAAAAUAAGUAAAAGACUGAGAAACAAGUACCCUACUAAAAACUGAUCGUGAUCUCAGGUUCUCCGGAAGGGUAGGCAGAUAUCUUCCACUAGUAGCACCCGUCAUGUUGUUGUGAGGUAACUACAAAUUUGGUGAUAGGUUUAGUUCGUGUUUUUGCACAAAAAUUACCUUUUAAUCUUCGGAUUAUUACUUAAAAUCAUAAAGAAUAAACCCAGUUAUGGAAAAUAUUUCAUUUCUUUAUCCACUUUCUUUAUUAGCAUAUAUUCAAAAUAAAGAACUCGUUGAUUCUUGUUUUUUAACAUCCAGCAAAUAUACCAACAUAUGAGUAUACAUGUGCAUGACAAGGAUGAAAGUGAAUCGCAAGUUAUCCUUGACUAGUUUUAAGGUGUGCAUAUUACUCAAGCGUAUUACCAGUUACAGAUUGUAUUGGAUACCAAGAGAUGUUUCUGGAAUUCUCGUGACAUAAAAAGAUUGUUCGAGUGAUUAAUUGAUGUCAAAUCUAUCCACUUGAAUUAUAAUACAUGCUUACAUGCAAAUUAAAAAUAAAGGUAAAUGUAAGUACUUGUUAUAACCUACUAAAUGUCUUUUUUUAUAGAUUGAUGAAAGUCUUCACUACAAAGAUUUCUCGUUCAUUGGUAGGAUCGCAAUCAAUGAAUACCUUAUUAUUGUAUUGAUACUAAAUCAAAGAUUGUAAAUAAUCAUCUCAUCAAAUUAUAGUUCUCUUUAUCAUCCUGUAUUGUUUGUUUGUCACUAAAGUUAUGUCUUUUAAUUGUCUUUUUAAUUAUUUUGACUGAUGAUAAUCAUACUAGAACGGUCAAGAAGAGGCGGAUGAUAUCAUGGAGACGUAUUAAAGAGAAAAAAAAGAGAAAAAUCGCCAUGACAAAAAACGAAAUUAAAACAUGAAAAGGCGAUUAAGUCCACACAAUACCACAUAGAAAACAAAAAAUGAAUAAAACGAACCCUAUCAAAGGUUGAACUAGGGUGCUUUCAAAGGAUAAACAGCCCUUUCAACCUUAAAACAUAAUGUAAAUAUCAUACGUUGGUCUUCAAAACUUGUGUUUGUUAUUUUCCUAUAUGCGUAUUUGGCCAUUAUUGAAGGUCAUACAAGGAAAUUUAAUUAUUACAUAAAUAAAUAUCUAUUUAUGUAUAUCUUUGCAUUCACUUCCCUUUUGACUUUCAAUUAUACAACAUCUGAGUUUCUUACUCGUACAAUAGUAAAUAUAUCUCAUCGAUUAAAUGAAGGCUUUGUAUUUACAAAUAUAAGAUUUUUUUUAUAGCAGGUACUUAAUAAAAUGUAUAAUUCAGUGUAAAAAAUACUCGUUCCACAAAGCAAGCAUAGUGAAUACUGAAUUGUAUUGUUAUAACAUACUAGUAUCAUAUUGAGACCUUGCAGGAAAAUAAAAAUUGUGGACAAAAAUGGGUAAUAGUACU
This 5755-nucleotide long non-coding RNA is filed under the name Mytilus galloprovincialis (Mediterranean mussel). The record is from RNAcentral. Lineage: Eukaryota; Metazoa; Mollusca; Bivalvia; Mytilida; Mytilidae.